RNAcentral lists this unclassified non-coding RNA (683 nucleotides) under Leishmania donovani. RNAcentral describes it as "gene:unknown". The record is from RNAcentral. Lineage: Eukaryota; Euglenozoa; Kinetoplastea; Trypanosomatida; Trypanosomatidae.
CGCGUUUUCGAAGACUAUGACGCACAUCUUCUCCCCCACCGACUACACACGCACACGCGCGCCUUCACAGAGAGGGAGAGAGACGUAUGAACGUACCUGAAACCGUCUCACCACCGUCAUCGCCAUCCCCCGCGACUGCCCUUUUUGUUUUGCAAUCGCACCCUUACCGUCCACCACGACUAACCCCACGAUGUCGGAGAUGAGCAGGACACGCGACACCAUCAGAAUGCCCCCCCCCCCCCUCUCCCCAUCUCUGACUUGGCGCGUUUAUUGUUGUGAUCCUCAUCUCAUCGUUGACCCGGGCCGUUUUUUUCCCAACCGGCAUCUGUCUAUAUCUUUUUCUCAUGGGCAUAACCAAAGCGGUCACAGGAUCUUAACUUAACGGAAUGGUCGCACCAUCGACAAGGGAGGUGGGAAAAAAAACGCACGCAGACACACAACAACAGAGGGCUGCGCUUGAGGCUGCGCAGCGCAGAAUCACAGGAGAAGAGGUGCGCCGCACAGGCGUGCUGAUACGCACGCACAUACAGCUGAAGUAUCUUUCUGUUGGGGCUGCAGUGAAGACGCCAACGAAGGAGCUAAGGGCGCUGCGUCACGCUGGAUAUCUGUCUACGCGCCAUGAUGCACCCCCAUCCUUUUUCCAGCCGCCACCACUAUCCAUGCUACUGGCACGGCUGCUCUUG